CCGUGUUGCACCUGGGGCCACUGAGACCCAGAAGAUCUGUCCUGUGGGAGAAAGGACUUCGCGGAGCUCUGUGGGGGCUGCAGCUGAGGAGAGUGCUGGAGUCUUCAGUCGGAUCUGCCUUUCUUGCUGACUCAAGAAACAGUAAAAGGUGACAGGAAGGUGGCCCCGGAACAAAUGGAGUCCCGCAGUGGCUCCAGCCAUGUGGAAUAAACCAAAUUAGUGCUGGCAGAAACUGAACCUGGAUUAUGAGUGCUGGCAAAAAUGUAAACAAAAUUAUUAAAAGAAAAUUGAACAAACUGCAGUUUUCAUCUCCUGUUAAGUGCUAAAGUGUGCCAAGUCCAACUUGUAAACAAACUAAUGAGCUUGGCUUUAAUUAAUGUUAAAAAAGCUGGUUCGACAGAGCCUGAAGAGGCCUAUAAAUAUUAUUUUGAAGAGUAUCCAAGACACUUAGAGCAGCUGUGUGAGCCUUUAGAAUUGACAUAGCUAUUUUAAUAUAUGCAGAGCUAUUUUUAACCUUUCAGCACAGGCCAGUCAGAGUGGGAGCCCAAGGGCAGUGAAGCCGGGGUGCCCAUCAGCUCCAUCAGCCAGAAUGCAACCUUGAAGGUCAAGGGCAUUGGCGCAGCAGUGUCCUGGGGCAGUUGGAAAAGUACCACAAACCGGGGAGCUCAAAACCACAGAAAUGUAUCUUCUCUCAGCUCUGGAGGCCUGAAGUCCAAAAUCAAGGUGCCAGCAAGGCUGUGCUCCCCCAACAGCUGGGAGGGUCCUCCCUGCCUCCUCAGCCUCCGAAGCUCCAGAUGCUCCCGGGUUUGUGGAUUCACAGCUUCCAUCUCUGCCUCCACCACCACAUGGGCUCCUGUGUCACCCUUCUUCUUAUAAGGACACAGUCACGACUUCAUCCUAACUACAGUGGUCCUCGUUGUCUUCCAUCUCACUUUUCUGGGUUUUAGUCACUCACGGUCAACCACGCUCCACAAAUAUUACAUGGCUACACUUGUGCUUUGGGGGCAUUAUUAAGUAAAAGAAGGGUGACCUGAACACAAGCACUGUGACACCACAGCCCAUCUGGUCACUAGGAUGACUGCCAAGUGGCCAAUGGCAACCCAGGCUUGGAUGGG
RNAcentral lists this long non-coding RNA (1115 nucleotides) under Homo sapiens (human). Its description in RNAcentral is "HSALNT0375425". The record is from RNAcentral. Lineage: Eukaryota; Metazoa; Chordata; Mammalia; Primates; Hominidae.